CUUUCCAUAGCCAUAACAUCCUUUCCUUACUCUCAAAUUGUAUAUCUAUCUAUCUUUAAGACUGCACACAGUGGUCAGUAGCUCAUGACUUGUUUUUGUAAUGAAUAAAUGGGAAGAACAACCAUAAAACACUCAUCUAAAGACGAGCUGACUUUCUGUGGAAAAUAGCAGCAAAGUUGAAAAAGAAGUCACAAUAAUCCGGCUUCUUGCACACAAAAAUAAUAAAAGACAAAUAAAACCAGAGGGAAAUAAAGAUAAAGUUUUUCUUUAUUUCCAAGCUACCAAAGAACAAAAGUGAAUUCCCAGAUGGUGGAGACUUUGAUUCGUUCUGAGAGAAACGCACAUUGUCAAAAAAUGUGUCUGGGUACCGGGGAGGGCAGAACCCUGGGUUUUACAGAAGGAGGGGAUGAAGAGCCUGCUCUUUCUCUCACAGCACUGCCUGCCUGCCUGCCUGUGUGCGUGCAAAGAGUUACAGUCAGUGUCAGAAUGGGUAAUAUUAAUAAAUGGGUCUUAAAUACAUCUAAAACCAAAAGCAUUGUAUUUGAUUCAAAGCAUUCUCUUAGACUUAAACCUCAACUUGAGUUGUGCGUAAAGGGUAUAACCAUUGAACAUCGGAUCCUAGGAGUGACAUUGGAUGGUCAGUUAUCAUGGUCAAGUCAUAUGGCCAAAGUUGUAGUGAAGAUGGGGAGAGGUAUGUCUGUUAUAAAAAAAGAAGUUCUGUGUUUUUGACACAAAGAUCAACUUUGAUUCAGGCUUUGAUCUUGUCCAAUCUCGAUUACUGUCCAGUAAUAUGGUCAGGUGCUGCAAAGAAAGACCUAGCAAAGUUGCAGCUGGCUCAAGCACGCACAGAACUAACAUCAACAGCAUGCAUAAUAGUCUUUCAUGGUUGAGGAGAAAUGUACUUAUCUUAUAGUCUUUGUAGCCCAUUCCUGCAGUCAAUGGCCUCAUGGGUGGAAUGUUAUUCAUAUUUUUUCAUAGUUUAAUAAUCAAUACAGAUUACUCCCCCCCCCCAAAAAAUAAAAAUAAAUCUGGUGUUGAUGUCAAAUGGUUUUGUUAUAUUUCUCUUCUUCUGUGAUGUAUAUCAAGUGUAAUAUUGGGGUGCAAACUCUGUCGUAGUACAGGUGUCUUCUUUUUGUUAAGCCCAUAACCAUGUGUGUGAGGUGCAUACUUUUGUUUCAAAGUAGAUUUGUUUAAUCACUCUGUGUGACCCUGAUUUAGCUCACUACAGUAAAAGGUUAAGCAACAUUUGAGUGUUGAAAAUGCCUAACUACUUGUAUAAUCCAAUUGCAUACACUUCAAACAGACAUACAUACCCCACCAGACAUGCCACUAUGGGUUUCUUCAUGGUACCCAAACCAAAAACAGAUUUAAUGCAUCACUCAGUUAUCUAUAGCGCCAUGCCAUCUUGGAAUGUUAUGCCACCAGAGGUUACUCAGGAAAAAAGCAAGUUUAGCUUUAAAAAAACAGAUAAAAUCAUCUUGUGUCACAGCACCUCUCCUCUUUCUAAAUACCUAAUUUAACUGUACUGUAUACAGUGCAUUUGAAAAGUAUUCAGACCCCUUGUCUUUUUCCACAUUUUGUUACGUUACAGCCUUAUUCUAAAAUUGAUUAAAUAGUUUUUGUUCCUCAGCAAUCUACACAAUACCCCAUAAUGACAAUGUGAAAACAGGUUUUUGGAAAUGUUUGCAAAUGUAUUACAAAUAAAAAACAGAAAUAGCUUAAUUACAUAAGUAUUCAGACCCUUUGCUACGAGACUCGAUAUAAAUUGAGCGCAGGUGCAUCCUGUUUCCAUUGAUCAUCCUUAAGAUGUUUCUACAACUUCAUUAGAGUCCACCUGUGGUAAAUUCAAUUGAUUGGACAUGAUUUGGAAAGGCACACACCUGUCUAUAUAAGGUCCAAAAGUUGACAGUGCAUGUCAACAAAAGAAACAAGCCAGGAGGUUGAAGGAAUUGUCUGUAGUAUUGAGGCACAGAUCUGGGGAAGGGUACCAAAACGUUUCUGUCACAUUGAAGGUCCGCAUGUACACAGUGGCCUUAAUCAUUCUUAAAUGGAAAACGUUUGGAUCCACCAAGACUCUUCCUAGACCUGGGCAGCUGGCCAAAUUGAGAAAUCGGUGCAGAAGGGCCUUGGUCAGGGAGGUGACCAAGAACCCGAUGGUCACUCUGACAGAGCUCCAGAGUUCCUCUGUGGAGAUGGGAGAACCUUCCAGAAGGACAACCAUCUUUGCAGCACUCCACCGAUCAGGCCUUAGUAGUGGCCAUACGAAAGCCAAUCCUCAGUAAAAGGCACAUGACAGCCCGCUUAGAGUUUGCCAAAAGACACCUAAAGACUCUCAGACCAUGAUAAGCAAGGUUCUCUGGUCUGAUGAAACCAAGAUUGAAUUAUUUGGCCAGAAUGCCGAGCGUCAGAAUGCUUCAUCCCUACGGUGAAGCAUGGUGGUGACGGCAUCAUGCUGUGGGGAUGUUUUACACCGGCAGAGACUGGGAGACUAUUCCAAAUACAGGUGUGUCAAGAUUGUAGCGUCAUACCCAAGGAGACUCGAGGCUGUAAUCUCUGCCAAAGGUGCUUCAACAAAGGUCUGAAUACUUUUGUAAAUGGGAUAUUUAAGUUUUUAUUUUUAAUAAACUAGCAACAAUUUCAACAAAAAAAGUUUGCUUUGUUAUUAUGGCUUAUUGUGUAGAUUGACAAGGGGGAAAAACGAUUUAAUACAUUUUAGAAUAAGGCUGUAACGUAACAAAGUGGAGUCUGAAUACUUUCUGAAGGCACUGUGUAAGAACAUUAAUAUGUAUACAUGAAUAGUGUGUAACAAGUAUUUUGGAUGUCUCUUGAUGUCUUUACACUAUAUAACUGUCUAUUGUUAAUUUUUUAUUUAAUGUAAUAUCUUGUGGUGUUCUUGCCUAUAACUGUUCUGUACUUUGUCAUGUAUUUGUACAUUUUAUGUGGACCCCAGGAAGAGUAGC
Molecule: long non-coding RNA, 2960 nt
Organism: Oncorhynchus tshawytscha (Chinook salmon)
Lineage: Eukaryota; Metazoa; Chordata; Actinopteri; Salmoniformes; Salmonidae
Source: Ensembl